GAUCUGGCUUCCCAACCCACAUUCAGGAUUGAGCCUCUGGGAGAUGCUGAGGGUGUGUCUGCAGGGAGGACUUUUCCUGCUCCUUUGGUGGAUGUUGCACGCAAGCCCAGCUCCCAUCGCAGGGGUCCUCCAGUGGGAAAGAACAAAGCUAAAGGACACAAGAAAGCCCAGGAACCAUCCAAACGCAUGGGACAGCUGUUGAGGGAAAUGGAACAGGCAGGACAAGAUAACCCUGUUGGUGAAAGCGAUCUGGCUUCCCAACCCACAUUCAGGAUUGAGCCUCUGGGAGAUGCUGAGGGUGUGUCUGCAGGGAGGACUUUUCCUGCUCCUUUGGUGGAUGUUGCACGCAAGCCCAGCUCCCAUCGCAGGGGUGAGUAGUGUGUCCCUGCUGAGCCCACAGGCUGAGCCCUGGUUUUGUGGGAUCCAUUCCUGGGAAAUGGAACUCUGUUGC
Molecule: long non-coding RNA, 451 nt
Organism: Vidua macroura (Pin-tailed whydah)
Lineage: Eukaryota; Metazoa; Chordata; Aves; Passeriformes; Viduidae
Exons: 5
Source: RefSeq, a predicted model, not a curated record